GACGAACGCUGGCGGCGUGCUUAACACAUGCAAGUCGAACGAUGAAGCCGGAGCUUGCUCCGGUGGAUUAGUGGCGAACGGGUGAGUAACACGUGAGCAAUCUGCCCUUGACUCUGGGAUAACUGCGGGAAACUGUAGCUAAUACCGGAUACGACACCUUGGGGCAUCCCAGGGUGUGGAAAGAAUUUCGGUCAAGGAUGAGCUCGCGGCCUAUCAGCUAGUUGGUGAGGUAAUGGCUCACCAAGGCGACGACGGGUAGCCGGCCUGAGAGGGUGACCGGCCUCACUGGAACUGAGACACGGUCCAGACUCCUACGGGAGGCAGCAGUGGGGAAUAUUGCACAAUGGGCGAAAGCCUGAUGCAGCAACGCCGCGUGAGGGAUGAAGGCCUUCGGGUUGUAAACCUCCUUUAGCAGGGAAGAAGCGAAAGUGACGGUACCUGCAGAAAAAGCACCGGCUAACUACGUGCCAGCAGCCGCCGUAA
RNAcentral lists this ribosomal RNA (483 nucleotides) under uncultured bacterium. RNAcentral's name for it is "partial 16S ribosomal RNA". It matches the Rfam family "Bacterial small subunit ribosomal RNA", at positions 28 to 523 of the family's 1533-position model. The record is from RNAcentral.